UACGUAGGGGGCAAGCGUUAUCCGGAAUCACUGGGCGUAAAGGGUGCGUAGGCGGCCAAUAAAGUCAGAGGUGAAAGGCUACGGCUCAACCGUAGUAAGCCUUUGAAACUUAUUGGCUUGAGUGCAGGAGAGGAGAGUGGAAUUCCUAGUGUAGCGGUGAAAUGCGUAGAUAUUAGGAGGAACACCAGUGGCGAAGGCGACUCUCUGGACUGUAACUGACGCUGAGGCACGAAAGCGUGGGGAGCGAACAGGAUUAGAUACCCUGGUAGUCCACGCCGUAAACGAUGAGUGCUAGGUGUUGGGGGUCAAACCUCAGUGCCGCAGCUAACGCAUUAAGCACUCCGCCUGGGGAGUACGCACGCAAGUGUGAA
RNAcentral lists this ribosomal RNA (371 nucleotides) under uncultured bacterium. RNAcentral's name for it is "bacterial SSU rRNA". It matches the Rfam family "Bacterial small subunit ribosomal RNA", at positions 524 to 898 of the family's 1533-position model. The record is from RNAcentral.